This 759-nucleotide ribosomal RNA is filed under the name uncultured Neocallimastigales. RNAcentral describes it as "partial large subunit ribosomal RNA". It matches the Rfam family "Eukaryotic large subunit ribosomal RNA", at positions 24 to 629 of the family's 3401-position model. The record is from RNAcentral. Lineage: Eukaryota; Fungi; Neocallimastigomycota; Neocallimastigomycetes; Neocallimastigales.
UAUCUCUGUAGAGUCUGCAUAUCAAUAAGCGGAGGAAAAGAAACUAACAAGGAUUCCCCUAGUAACGGCGAGUGAAGCGGGAAGAGCUCAAAUUUGAAAUCUUCAAGGUUUGACCUUGACGAAUUGUAGUUUAAAGAAGUGUUUUCGGUUAGAGGAGUAGUAAAAGUUCUUUGGAAUAGGACAUCAUAGAGGGUGAGAAUCCCGUAUUUGACUAUUCUUUCUAGCUUUGUGAUACACUUUCAAAGAGUCGGAUUGUUUGGGAAUGCAGUCCAAAAUGGGUGGUAAAUUUCAUCUAAAGCUAAAUAUUGGCGAGAGACCGAUAGCGAACAAGUACCGUGAGGGAAAGAUGAAAAGAACUUUGAAAAGAGAGUUAAACAGUACGUGAAAUUGUCAAAAGGGAAGCGUUUGACACCAGUGUUGUUUUUUCCGAAAAUCAAUUAAAAAUUGAUUCAUGCCAGGUUGUAUUGACCUUAUCAGCUUGCAAUUUGGUUUUGGGUCUCUUUUUGAUGCACUUUUCGGUUAACAAGUCAACAUCAAUUUCCUUUGCUGUAAAAAGGUAAGAGGAAGGUGGCUUCAAUUUCGGUUGAAGUGUUUAUAGCCUUUUAUCUCUGCAGUCGGGGAGAUUGAGGUCUGCAGCGUAGAUCCUUCGGGGCUAGAUACAUUUAUGCUAAGUUAUAGCUUUUCAUAGACAACUUGUUGACUAUGUUUAGUCAUGUAGCUUACUCGUAAGUGCUAUUUUACCUACGCUUAGGAUGUUGA